UACGGAGGGUGCAGGCGUUAUCCGGAUUUACUGGGUUUAAAGGGUGCGUAGGUGGAUAAUUAAGUCAGUGGUGAAAUCUUCAGGCUUAACCUGGAAACUGCCAUUGAUACUAUUUAUCUUGAAUACUUUGGAGGUAAGCGGAAUAUGUCAUGUAGCGGUGAAAUGCUUAGAUAUGACAUAGAACACCAAUUGCGAAGGCAGCUUACUACACAGUAAUUGACACUGAGGCACGAAAGCGUGGGGAUCAAACAGG
RNAcentral lists this ribosomal RNA (253 nucleotides) under uncultured bacterium. RNAcentral describes it as "partial 16S ribosomal RNA". It matches the Rfam family "Bacterial small subunit ribosomal RNA", at positions 524 to 776 of the family's 1533-position model. The record is from RNAcentral.